RNAcentral lists this ribosomal RNA (253 nucleotides) under uncultured bacterium. Its description in RNAcentral is "partial 16S ribosomal RNA". It matches the Rfam family "Bacterial small subunit ribosomal RNA", at positions 524 to 776 of the family's 1533-position model. The record is from RNAcentral.
GACGAACCGUCCUAACGUUGUUCGGAUUCACUGGGCUUAAAGGGCGCGUAGGCGGGCCCGCCAGUCCGGGGUGAAAGCUUUCGGCUCAACCGGAAAAGUGCCUUGGAAACUGCGGGUCUCGAGGGAGGUAGGGGCAUGUGGAACUUCUGGUGGAGCGGUGAAAUGCGUUGAUAUCAGAAGGAACGCCGGUGGCGAAAGCGACGUGCUGGACCUCUACUGACGCUGAGGCGCGAAAGCCAGGGGAGCAAACGGG